Molecule: ribosomal RNA, 691 nt
Filed under: uncultured Burkholderiales bacterium
Lineage: Bacteria; Pseudomonadati; Pseudomonadota; Betaproteobacteria; Burkholderiales
Description: bacterial SSU rRNA
Rfam family: Bacterial small subunit ribosomal RNA
Source: RNAcentral
GCUUGCUUCUCUGUCGGCGAGUGGCGAACGGGUGAGUAUAGCAUCGGAACGUGCCAAGUAGUGGGGGAUAACCAAACGAAAGUUUGGCUAAUACCGCGUAAGCUCCAAGGAGGAAAGUAGGGGACCUAAAUAAGGCCUUACGCUAUUUGAUCGGCCGAUGUCGGAUUAGCUAGUUGGUGGGGUAAUGGCUCACCAAGGCAAUGAUCCGUAGCGGGUCUGAGAGGACGAUCCGCCACACUGGGACUGAGACACGGCCCAGACUCCUACGGGAGGCAGCAGUGGGGAAUUUUGGACAAUGGGGGAAACCCUGAUCCAGCCAUGCCGCGUGUAUGAAGAAGGCCUUAGGGUUGUAAAGUACUUUUGUUAGGGAAGAAAAGCUAGUUUUUAAUAAAAAUUAGUGAUGACGGUACCUAAAGAAUAAGCACCGGCUAACUACGUGCCAGCAGCCGCGGUAAUACGUAGGGUGCAAGCGUUAAUCGGAAUUAUUGGGCGUAAAGCGAGUGCAGACGGUUACUUAAGCCAGAUGUGAAAUCCCCAAGCUUAACUUGGGACGUGCAUUUGGAACUGGGUGACUAGAGUGUGUCAGAGGGAGGUAGAAUUCCACAUGUAGCGGUGGAAUGCGUAGGGAUGUGGAGGAAUACCGAUGGCGAAGGCAGCCUCCUGGGAUAACACUGACGUUGAGGCUCGAAAG